Molecule: transfer RNA, 76 nt
Filed under: Bartonella fuyuanensis
Lineage: Bacteria; Pseudomonadati; Pseudomonadota; Alphaproteobacteria; Hyphomicrobiales; Bartonellaceae
Also listed under: 7 other names
Description: tRNA-Trp
Rfam family: tRNA
About the family: Transfer RNA (tRNA) molecules are approximately 80 nucleotides in length. Their secondary structure includes four short double-helical elements and three loops (D, anti-codon, and T loops). Further hydrogen bonds mediate the characteristic L-shaped molecular structure. tRNAs have two regions of fundamental functional importance: the anti-codon, which is responsible for specific mRNA codon recognition, and the 3' end, to which the tRNAs corresponding amino acid is attached (by aminoacyl-tRNA synthetases). tRNAs cope with the degeneracy of the genetic code in two manners: having more than one tRNA (with a specific anti-codon) for a particular amino acid; and 'wobble' base-pairing, i.e. permitting non-standard base-pairing at the 3rd anti-codon position.
Source: RNAcentral
AGGGGUAUAGCUCAGUUGGUAGAGCGGCGGUCUCCAAAACCGUAGGUCGCGGGUUCAAGUCCUGCUGCCCCUGCCA